AUUGAACGCUGGCGGCGUGCUUAACACAUGCAAGUCGAGCGGUAACAGGUGUAGCAAUACAUGCUGACGAGCGGCGAACGGGUGAGUAAUGCUUCGGAAUCUUCCUCGUAGUGGGGAAUAACCUGGGGAAACUCAGGCUAAUACCGCAUACGAACUACGGUUGAAAGCAGGGGAUCGCAAGACCUUGCGCUAUGAGAUGAGCCGAAGUCGGAUUAGCUAGUUGGUGGGGUAAAGGCCUACCAAGGCGACGAUCCGUAGCUGGUCUGAGAGGACGACCAGCCACACUGGGACUGAGACACGGCCCAGACUCCUACGGGUGGCAG
RNAcentral lists this ribosomal RNA (323 nucleotides) under uncultured Pseudomonadota bacterium. RNAcentral's name for it is "bacterial SSU rRNA". It matches the Rfam family "Bacterial small subunit ribosomal RNA", at positions 30 to 351 of the family's 1533-position model. The record is from RNAcentral. Lineage: Bacteria; Pseudomonadati; Pseudomonadota.